GAUUAACAAAAUUAUCUGGCCUCUAUUCUGGCCAUUUAUUGUCGGUGCUGCUGUUGACAAAAGCUUGGAAAGGCAGCAAACGGAGUCGCGGGUGAGGCAGAGCGAGGGUGGAGGGAGGGAGGGCGGUAAUGAGGGAAGCAUUCUUGAUGAGAAACUAACAACAAUGUAAACACAGCAGAUAAGUGCUUUCUUGGCCCGGCAGUAUUGAUCAUGAAUAGGCUUGGUGCUCAACUUUACAGGGUGAAUUGUAUUUUCCUGCUGGGUUUUGAUAGCCAGCUGUUAACACACUGCGCAAUUACUGGCUGUGAAGACGUUUUGGUUUUUUUUCUUUCUGUUUUUUUUGGUGUUGUUUGUUGUGAUGAGAGGAGGGAGGCUACGGUUAAAUGUGUAGCCUCAUUACAAAAAUGCGUGUAAGUGGAUGUGAGGCGCAAUUAAAAAGUGAAACAAAGCCUUUGUUUCAAAUCAUCGGCAAUGAAACCCGAAAUUAUCAUUAGCACCACGGGUAUGUUUGGUUGCACAAUGUUCUUGAAUCAAAUGGCUUGCUUCUGCCUUUGGUGGUGUGGCCUCUCUCUUUUUUUUUUCUUUCUAAUAUUUCCUCUCCCCCACCCCUUCUUUCUCUCCUUUUACCGGUGGACUUGACUUGCAGCUAAUUAAUUUGCAAAUUUUAUUCUCAAUAAAGUGCUUACAAAAAGAUAAUUGUGACUUUAUUAACAGUUUCUUGGGCAGCAGAUGGUGUUCUGCAGGCCUGCCAUGUUGAAUUAGUGAUGACGCUGUCGUUUUAUGCGCUCUCUACUGUGGCAACCCAUAAAACUCCUAAUUAAGGCUACAAAUUAAUACUACUUCUUCCCAACAUUAUACCCAGCCAUUUCACCCAAAAUUAGGGUAAACAAAUACAAACACAUACAGGUAAGUCUCCCAUUAGUAUGCACCCAUUCUCUGUGUACAGUUGCUGCAUUUAUGUAAGGAAUCUCUGUUAUUAUAAUCAUUUGUUCUAUAUUAAGAGCAAUUAAAUGCCUA
Astatotilapia calliptera (eastern happy) is the source of this 1017-nucleotide long non-coding RNA. Lineage: Eukaryota; Metazoa; Chordata; Actinopteri; Cichliformes; Cichlidae. The record is from Ensembl.